UGACGGCGUGCGGGAGAGUGCUUUCCCUCCUCACGGAGAAUGGCCGCCGAAGGAGCAACCCCCCGGGAACCUCUCAGGCCCAUGAACCGCACGCUCAGG
Molecule: non-coding RNA, 99 nt
Filed under: Granulibacter bethesdensis
Lineage: Bacteria; Pseudomonadati; Pseudomonadota; Alphaproteobacteria; Acetobacterales; Acetobacteraceae
Also listed under: 1 other name
Description: Glycine sequence
Rfam family: Glycine riboswitch aptamer
About the family: This family represents the bacterial glycine riboswitch. Glycine riboswitches usually consist of two metabolite-binding aptamers domains with similar structures in tandem. The aptamers cooperatively bind glycine to regulate the expression of downstream genes.
Source: RNAcentral